This is a long non-coding RNA of Astatotilapia calliptera (eastern happy), 1026 nucleotides long. The record is from Ensembl. NCBI's taxonomy places the organism in Eukaryota, Metazoa, Chordata, Actinopteri, Cichliformes, Cichlidae.
CAACGCCAUUAAAGGGCUGAUGAGAUAAGAGGAGUGUGUGCUUGCGCACUUAACUUUGUGUGUGUUCAGACUCCUGUGCUCACAUUCAUGCUCCAGGGACAAUGGUUAGGUGCUUUGGUCAUGGCAAUGCAUGACUUCAAUUUACAUGUUUGCAUAUUUGACAAUUAACCAAAUUGAUUCCCUGUGUGUGUGUGUGUGUGUGUGUGUGUGUCGACAGCAUCAAAUGUCUGUUUUCCUAAGGAUUUUCAAUUCCGCGUCCACCCUCACAUCAAACAGGUCCAAUAAUGGCACUCCCUCAUUUGCAUACCAUUAAUUAGCCAUUCAUAUUAAACGGCUAAUUAGCAUAUAUAGCAUUCUGUGUUUUGUCAGGGUGAAAGCUAUAGCAGCAAUAACUUUUGCUUUCAUAUCACUUGUUUUUGCUGUCUAUGCAAAUGUGAGUAGUUUGUGAAGGUUUUAAUCAGUUAGCAUGUGUAUGUGCUUGUGAGCAAAAAAAAAAAAAAAAAAAAAAAAAAAAGACUCGGGGAGAGAUGUUCAACAUACCUUUUACAGCAGGCACUGAGAAGUGCUGUCUUGCAGCCACAGUAAAGAGAGGGAGAGUGCAACACACUAAUGAUUUGUGGGUUAUUUCCACCACCAAAAGAAAAAGACUAAUGACUGGUUUUUUUUUUUUAGUUGACAUUUGCUUUGAAGACUGAUAAUGAAGCUCCACUGAGAGAUGCACCACAGCCAAACUUAUCCAUGUAGCUCUAGUAUCAAUGUUUUUAGUGUCUCCCAGGAACGUGUUGUGGGAUAAACCCACCUGAACUUACAGGAACUACCUCAUAGUUUACAAAAGUUUAGCAAUGUACACGAGGUUUAAGUUAGCAAUAGGAAAGCAAACACUUUGAGUUUGACAUUCUUUAAGUUAGUAAUGGGUUUUUGUUCAGUUCUUUGUGCGCCUGUGUUUGAUGUUGUGGUCAUUGUCUAAAUUCUUAGUCAUGCUAGUAUGUGGCAUUGCAAUAUUAAUCCUUUCAGCUUCGUGAAAUA